GCCGGACAUGGAGGCGGUGAUGACGAGGGAACCGCUUCCGCGCUCCUUGAAGUGGUGGCCGACGGCCUUGGCGCAGUGGAAGGUACCGUUCAGGUCGAUCUGGACGACGUGGUUCCAGGCCUCGACGGAGCCGUCGAGGAUGCCAGAGUCGGCGGUGGCACCGGCGUUGGCGAUGAAGGCAUCGAUCUGGCCGAAGUCGGCAACGACGUCCUUGACGAGCUUCUCGCAGGACUCGUAGCUGUCAACCUGGC
RNAcentral lists this unclassified non-coding RNA (251 nucleotides) under Hevea brasiliensis (rubber tree). The record is from RNAcentral. Lineage: Eukaryota; Viridiplantae; Streptophyta; Magnoliopsida; Malpighiales; Euphorbiaceae.